Molecule: long non-coding RNA, 1372 nt
Filed under: Fukomys damarensis (Damara mole-rat)
Lineage: Eukaryota; Metazoa; Chordata; Mammalia; Rodentia; Bathyergidae
Description: lncRNA (ENSFDAG00000026883.1)
Source: RNAcentral
GUGGAUUUAUGAUUGUCUUUAUCAUAAAGUCAGCCUCUCUCUUGCUUGCUGGUAGCCCUUUGAGAGCCAGAGGCAGAGGAAAGUGGCUGUACAGCUUUCUAACUGGCCAAAGUGGGCUUCAGAGGAGCAACACUGCCAGGGCCAGCAGCACUCACCGUUUGACACAGAUGGCAACUUUAAUGUAAUCUUUAACAAUUGCACGGCAAGGUUCUAUGGGAUCCACAGAAGCACAGUGAGGUAGAUCCCUGCUUUUCUUACCCAUCUUACAAAUGAGGUGACCCAGGCACAGAGGGAUGCAGAGCUUACCCCAAAUCACACAUCCAGUCAACAUACCCACGAGAAUGGACUGCCUACGAGGGGUCGAUCCCAGAAGUGCACCACGGGAGACACAAAAAACCAACCAAAUUAUUUGGCAUGGAUUUGACACCCAUUUGUGCAAAGAUUGAGGUCGGCAAGUUGCUUCUACUUUUUCGCUGCUCGGCAGUUUGACUGGGAAACAACUUUGAUUAACUGUUCACCCAUUCGUCAGUAAGCAGGAGGAGGUACCAUUCACCCGGGCUCAUGUGAUACUCAUGGUCGUGGACCGCUGGCUUGAGGAAGAGGAUCAUGAAAGAGCCUGGGCUACCAUUUCCCAAAUGCACAGGCUAGGUGCGACCCCAGAAUAUCCUAGGGCCCCUCUGCUGGGAACCAGAUUCCAGAAGCUAACGAGGACUGGAGGCAGAGGACUCCACAGAACAAUGAAUGGAAAGGUUCCCUUGAUUUUCACCACCCCUGAGUCCCAAAGUCCUUGGGCAGUGAGUUACCAUACAACCUUCUAAGAUGUCUGCAGACAGUUCAGAGGACAAGGCGGGGAUCAGAAGAGUCCUACACAGAGGAUGAUCCAGAGGCUGAGAGCCAGACAAGAUUGAGAUAGCUAGCUCUCUGUCACUUGUUGAAAGAGGUGUCAAUCGACUGUUUGCAUCUAGAUGAGAUGCACUAAUGUAAGACGUUACCGUGUAUUAUUCUGCUGUCACGGGAGAUUAAAGUCCCUGAGUGCCCUGGGCGUGUCUGUCGUCUGUUUGCCAGUGUUUGGCCGCGGCCUCCCCUCUCCAAUCAGGAUGGCCCCGAGGUGUAGAGGCGAGAUCGAGGGCGGGCUCCGCUCCCGCUCUGCCUGGUGUCCCGCUGAGCCUCCAGGAACACGGGCUUUCAGCUACUUUUUCACCACGAUGCAACGAAUCCAAGGGUCAAAGCUCAAGAUAAGGACGCGGGUCUUAGGCGGUGCCAUCGAGCCCCUGUGUGGGUCUUGCUUCCCCAGGGCUUCCCGUUGGAUUUGGCAACCAAGCGCUGAUUCACUGGAGCAUCAUUAGCUCUGCUGCUGCCACCACAGCCAAAC